UACGAGGGGGGCGAGCGUUUGUUCGGAAUUAUUGGGCGUGAAGGGUGCGUAGGCGGUUUGGUAAGUCUGAUGUGAAAUCUAUGGGCUCAACUCAUAGUCUGCAUCGGAAACUGCCGGGCUUUGAGUGUGGGAGAGGUGAGUGGAAUUCCUGGUGUAGCGGUGAAAUGCGUAGAUAUCAGGAGGAACACCUGUGGCGAAAGCGGCUCACUGGACCAUAACUGACGCUGAUGCACGAAAGCUAGGGGAGCAAACAGG
Molecule: ribosomal RNA, 255 nt
Filed under: uncultured bacterium
Lineage: Bacteria
Description: partial 16S ribosomal RNA
Rfam family: Bacterial small subunit ribosomal RNA
Source: RNAcentral